GACGAACGCUGGCGGCGUGCCAAAUACAUGCAAGUCGAGCGGAACUGGGGGAGCUUGCUCCUUCCAGUUUAGCGGCGGUCGGGUGAGUAACACGUGGGCAACCUGCCCUGCAGAUCGGGAUAACUCCGGGAAACCGGUGCUAAUACCGAAUAGUUUGAGGCCUCUCCUGAGGCUUCACGGAAAGACGGUUUCGGCUGUCACUGCAGGAUGGGCCCGCGGCGCAUUAGCUAGUUGGUGGGGGAACGGCCCACCAAGGCCACGAUGCGUAGACGACAGGAGGGGGUGACCGGCCACACUAGGACUGAGACACGGCCCAGAAUCCUACGGGAGGCAGCAGUAGGGAAUCUUCCGCAAUGGACGCAAGUCUGACGGAGCAACGCCGCGUGAGUGACGAAGGUUUUCGGAUCGUAAAACUCUGUUGUGAGGGAAGAACACGUACCAACUAACUAUUGGUACCUUGACGGUACCUCACCAGAAAGCCACGGCUAACUACGUGCCAGCCGCCGCGGUAA
This 512-nucleotide ribosomal RNA is filed under the name uncultured bacterium. RNAcentral describes it as "partial 16S ribosomal RNA". It matches the Rfam family "Bacterial small subunit ribosomal RNA", at positions 28 to 523 of the family's 1533-position model. The record is from RNAcentral.